UUUGCAAAGAAGUUAGCUGACAUGUUGCAAAAUGCUAACGCACAUGCCCUUACAUUUCGUGACUUGCCAAUGGGCGAACAAGAAUUAAGAGACCGUGUUUGCAAUUAUAUCAUGACAAUUAACGAAGAUAUGGCUUUAGAGCAAAAAUGGGUUGUAAGUGCAAAGCCCUAUCCGAUUGUGUUGAGUCUCAAGAAAACCCAAAGGAUGUUAAACAAGAACGAGGGAAUUCAUGAUGAUUGUUUUAACCUGGUAGCACGGAAGUUUGCUUUUGAAGAACUUGAAAAGUUGAAGGGAACAAACAAGAUUGUGUCAAAGCAUUACAUGGAUUUAAAGUUUUCGAUUCUAAUACCACUUCAAAUGGUUACAGCAUGAGGUAUUUAUAAUCUUUUUUGUUCAAGACAUGUCUAGAAGAGCUCUCUACAUAGUAGACCAAACUCCUAAACCUGAUCUUUACAAGAUUCAACCACUAAAAAAUAUACAAACAAAAUUCAAAGGGUUUCCACUGCCCUAAAUGAAGUCAUGAAAGUUUCAUGCCCUUGGUGGCGAGAUGAUUUAAUCCUCUUUGACCAUAGAGUUGCAGAAGUCAACCAAUUUGAGUUAAAUGGGUAAAUACUUUUACAAUAGAAACUAUUUGUUUUUAUAUUCUACUAUAUAUAUAAUAGUAAUAAUUUAAUGCUUCCUCAGGGACUUGUCUGGUUAUAAUGUUCUACUUGCUAUGCAUGCGUGGAAUGGUAAAAGGAUAGAAACAUCCAUUUGCAAUAAUGAUAAUUAUGAAGUGAGGAAGCAUAUAUUGCUACACCUACUCACAUAUACCGGGAACAAAAAUAUUGCCAACAUACCUAAAGGUGUUCGAGAUCACCUUGAACGCUAUAUUUGUCUCACAAG
This is a long non-coding RNA of Sorghum bicolor (sorghum), 885 nucleotides long. RefSeq lists it as uncharacterized. The transcript is spliced from 4 exons. Lineage: Eukaryota; Viridiplantae; Streptophyta; Magnoliopsida; Poales; Poaceae. The record is from RefSeq and is a predicted model, not a curated record.